RNAcentral lists this ribosomal RNA (555 nucleotides) under Salmonella enterica subsp. enterica. RNAcentral's name for it is "partial 23S ribosomal RNA". It matches the Rfam family "Bacterial large subunit ribosomal RNA", at positions 27 to 621 of the family's 2925-position model. Lineage: Bacteria; Pseudomonadati; Pseudomonadota; Gammaproteobacteria; Enterobacterales; Enterobacteriaceae. The record is from RNAcentral.
GAUGCCCUGGCAGUCAGAGGCGAUGAAGGGCGUGCUAAUCUGCGAUAAGCGCCGGUAAGGUGAUAUGAACCGUUAUAACCGGCGAUACCCGAAUGGGGAAACCCAGUGUGAUUCGUCACACUAUCAUUAACUGAAUCCAUAGGUUAAUGAGGCGAACCGGGGGAACUGAAACAUCUAAGUACCCCGAGGAAAAGAAAUCAACCGAGAUUCCCCCAGUAGCGGCGAGCGAACGGGGAGGAGCCCAGAGCCUGAAUCAGCAUGUGUGUUAGUGGAAGCGUCUGGAAAGGCGCGCGAUACAGGGUGACAGCCCCGUACACAAAAGCGCAUGUGCUGUGAGCUCGAUGAGUAGGGCGGGACACGUGGUAUCCUGUCUGAAUAUGGGGGGACCAUCCUCCAAGGCUAAAUACUCCUGACUGACCGAUAGUGAACCAGUACCGUGAGGGAAAGGCGAAAAGAACCCCGGCGAGGGGAGUGAAAAAGAACCUGAAACCGUGUACGUACAAGCAGUGGGAGCACCCUUCGGGGUGUGACUGCGUACCUUUUGUAUAAUGGGUC